GUAUGCAUGGUGUAGGUACUGCAAUAAAAGAGUUUUGAAGGGAUCCUAUGCUUUAUGAAAAGAUUCAAUAUCCUUUUGAUAAAAAUUAGAAAUUUCAAUUCUUAAUUC
Ricinus communis (castor bean) is the source of this 108-nucleotide non-coding RNA. NCBI's taxonomy places the organism in Eukaryota, Viridiplantae, Streptophyta, Magnoliopsida, Malpighiales, Euphorbiaceae. The record is from Rfam.